GGAAGAAGGACCGUCGCCGCCGCCAUGCAAAGCCCGUCCUCCACGCCGCUUGUGGACAUCAUUUCUUCCCUUGCGGUCCUCCACCGCGAGCAACACCAGGCGCUGCUGGACCUGAGGACUGAUCAGGAGCGACGGUUCCAGGCCAUCGUCCAGGCCCAGCAGGAGGACCGCGAGAGGUUCCGGGGCUGGAUUGAUCGGGAGGUGGCACCUGCCACUGCACAAGAUGGGGGCCCAGGAUGAUCCGGAGGCCUUCCUAGAGCUCUUCGAGAAGGCGGCUGAGGCCUGCGGGUGGCCCCGCGAGCAGUGGCCGGUGCGCCUCAUUCCACUGCUCUCCGGCGAGGCCCAGGUGGCCGCCCAACAACUUCCGGUGGCGAAUCUCCUGGUCUUCAACGACCUGAAGAGGGCCAUCAUCCAGCGGGUCGGCCGAUCGCCAGAACAACACCGCCAGCGCUUCCGCUCCCUGGACUUGGGCGAGGCCGGCCGGCCCUUCGCGAUGGCCCAACAGCUCCGGGACACCUGCCGCAAGUGGCUACUGGCCGAGGGGAGCGACGUGGAGCAUGUCGUCGACCUGGUGGUGCUGGAGCAGUUCAUCACUCGCCUCCCCAAGAAGACGGCCGAGUGGGUCCAGUGCCACCGCCCCGCUUCCAUCUCUCCGCUCUCUCCACGCCAAUUCCCCUCUCCACUCCCUGCCAUUGGGGCGGCGGGUAGGUCUGGGCUGGCCUGUUGGCGUUGCGGGGACCCGGACCAUUUUGUGGACAGGUGUCCAGUGAUGGAGGUGGAGAUGAUGAUCCGGGUCCCGGACGACCCACAGGCUACCCCCGGUCAGGCUGGCGAGUACCAAAUUCCCGUGAGUAUCAAGGGGGGUACAUAUCCGGCCUUGGUGGAUUCAGGAUGCAACCAGACCUCAAUCCAUCAAAGCCUGGUUCAACCGGGGGCAUUGGAUACAAGCCGCGUGGUUAAGGUGCGGUGCGUACACGGGGAUGUGGUGGAAUAUCCGGUCGUCCCAAUUUUGAUUCAAUUUCGGGGACAAAAGCAUAGUGUGGAGGUGGCGGUUAGUCCCCGCCUCCGGCAUCCAAUAAUUUUGGGGACGAAUUGGCCCGCGUUUACGGUUUUAUUGGGGUCGUUAUGUGCGGAUGCCCCUUGGGGAAAUAAGGCACGGAAGGAGACCGCGCGGGUUCAGGUGGGGGAAACUGAGCCAGGACCGCUGAGGUCUGCCUCAGGGGAACCGAGUGGAAUCGGGAGACUAAUUCUUUCGGAGCACGAUGACUUUCCUCUGGAGCAGUCUCAGGAUGAGAUGCUAAAACAUGCGUUCCAACAGGUCCGCACCAUCGAUGGCCAGUCUCUCCAACCUGCCCUCCCGCUCUCCUAUCCAUAUUUUGCCAUUUUAAAAGACCGGUUGUAUCGAGUGACCCAAGACGCUCAGACAAAAGUAAAUACAACCCAGUUGUUAAUUCCAAAGAGCCGCAGGGAAAUGCUUUUCCAUGCGGCUCAUUCUAAUCCUAUGGCGGGCCAUUUGGGACAGGCAGCAACACUAAAUCGCCUCAUGACCCGAUUCUUCUGGCCGGGCAUUCAUGACAACGUGCGCAGGUGGUGCGCGUCUUGUCCGGAAUGUCAGUUGGUGAACCCACCGGCCGCCCCAAAAGCGCCUUUGCGUCCUCUCCCAUUAAUGCAGGCCCCCUUCGAAAGAAUUGGUAUGG
RNAcentral lists this long non-coding RNA (1697 nucleotides) under Carassius auratus (goldfish). Its description in RNAcentral is "lncRNA (ENSCARG00000034971.1)". The record is from RNAcentral. Lineage: Eukaryota; Metazoa; Chordata; Actinopteri; Cypriniformes; Cyprinidae.